RNAcentral lists this non-coding RNA (94 nucleotides) under Hymenobacter gelipurpurascens. Its description in RNAcentral is "SAM-I sequence". It matches the Rfam family "SAM riboswitch aptamer (S box leader)". From Rfam's summary of the family: The SAM riboswitch is found upstream of a number of genes which code for proteins involved in methionine or cysteine biosynthesis in Gram-positive bacteria. The SAM riboswitch acts at the level of transcription termination control. Lineage: Bacteria; Pseudomonadati; Bacteroidota; Cytophagia; Cytophagales; Hymenobacteraceae. The record is from RNAcentral.
UUUUUAUACAGAGGCGUGGAGAGACAGGCUCGACGAAACGCCGGCAACCCCCAGUGAUGAGCUGGAACGGUGCCAAGUCCUGACCAUAUAAAAA